AAAUGUAUAUGACGUGUGCUAAUCUUACUUUCCAAAUUAAAAAGGGAAGAUGGAUGAAUAUUUUUAAAGGAAGACAUGAUGUGUAAUCUUUGAACACAAAAUGUUGGCGAUAAACACGUUAUGUGUUACUUUAGAAAUUCUCACUUUUUAGGGAAUAUCUCUGCUGUCUUUUAUGCAUAUUUUUUUUGUAUGUAUUUACCACGUGUACACGUUUGUGUCUAAAGCAAAUUAAGUAAUUUGAUUAUACAAGCAUAUAAUACCUCUAGAGUUUGUCAGUUUU
Molecule: long non-coding RNA, 280 nt
Filed under: Mytilus galloprovincialis (Mediterranean mussel)
Lineage: Eukaryota; Metazoa; Mollusca; Bivalvia; Mytilida; Mytilidae
Source: RNAcentral